UACACGUGGCUAAUUCUGCCCUUGGGACCGGAAUACCCCCGGGAAACUGGGGCUAAUUCUCGAUAGGUGAAGAACUCUGGAAUGAGUCUUUGCCAAAAAGACGUUUACGUUAUGCUCGUAGGCGUUGCCCAAGGAUGAGGCCGCGACCGAUCAGGUUGUUGGUGAGGUAAUGGCUCACCAAGCCUCUUACCGGUGCGGGCCGUGAGAGCGGGAGCCCGGAGAUGGGCACUGAGACAAGGGCCCAGGCCCUACGGGGCGCAGCAGUCGCGAAAACUUUGCAAUACACGGAAGUGUGACAGGGCUAUCCCGAGUGCCAUCCGCUGAGGAAGGCUUUUACCCAGUCUAGAACGCUGGGGGAAUAAGGAGAGGGCAAGUCUGGUGUCAGCCGCCGCGGUAAUACCAGCUCUCCGAGUGGUGUGGAUGUUUAUUGGGCCUAAAGCAUCCGUAGCUGGCUGAGUUAGUCCCUUGUUAAAUCCACCGAAUUAAUCGUUGGAUUGCGGGGGAUACUGCUCGGCUAGGGGACGAGAGAGGCAGACGGUAUUUCUGGGGUAGGGGUGAAAUCCUAUAAUCCCAGGAGGACCACCAGUGGCGAAGGCUGUCUGCUAGAACGCGCCCGACGGUGAGGGAUGAAAGCUGGGGGAGCGAACCGGAUUAGAUACCCGGGUAGUCCCAGCUGUAAACGAUGCAGACUAGGUGUUUGGACGGCCACGUGCCGUUCUAGUGCCGCAGGGAAGCUGUUAAGUCUGCCGCCUGGGAGUA
RNAcentral lists this ribosomal RNA (759 nucleotides) under uncultured crenarchaeote. Its description in RNAcentral is "bacterial SSU rRNA". It matches the Rfam family "Archaeal small subunit ribosomal RNA", at positions 95 to 837 of the family's 1478-position model. Lineage: Archaea; Thermoproteati; Thermoproteota. The record is from RNAcentral.